GGUUAAGCGACUAAGCGUACACGGUGGAUGCCCUGGCAGUCAGAGGCGAUGAAGGACGUGCUAAUCUGCGAAAAGCGUCGGUAAGGUGAUAUGAACCGUUAUAGCCGGCGAUGUCCGAAUGGGGAAACCCAGUGCAAUUCGUUGCACUAUCGUUAACUGAAUACAUAGGUUAACGAGGCGAACCGGGGGAACUGAAACAUCUAAGUACCCCGAGGAAAAGAAAUCAACCGAGAUUCCCCCAGUAGCGGCGAGCGAACGGGGAGCAGCCCGGAGUCUGAAUCAGCUUGUGUGUUAGUGGAAGCGUCUGGAAAGUCGCAGGGUACAGGGUGAUACUCCCGUACACUAAAACACACAGGCUGUGAACUCGAAGAGUAGGGCGGGACACGUGGUAUCCUGUCUGAAUAUGGGGGGACCAUCCUCCAAGGCUAAAUACUCCUGACUGACCGAUAGUGAACCAGUACCGUGAGGGAAAGGCGAAAAGAACCCCGGCGAGGGGAGUGAAAAAGAACCUGAAACCGUGUACGUACAAGCAGUAGGAGCCCACUAGUUGGGUGACUGCGUACCUUUUGUAUAAUGGGUCAGCGACUUAUAUUCUGUAGCAAGGUUAACCGAAUAGGGGAGCCGCA
Molecule: ribosomal RNA, 626 nt
Filed under: Klebsiella oxytoca
Lineage: Bacteria; Pseudomonadati; Pseudomonadota; Gammaproteobacteria; Enterobacterales; Enterobacteriaceae
Description: partial 23S ribosomal RNA
Rfam family: Bacterial large subunit ribosomal RNA
Source: RNAcentral